RNAcentral lists this ribosomal RNA (19 nucleotides) under Verticillium dahliae. RNAcentral describes it as "partial 18S ribosomal RNA". The record is from RNAcentral. RNAcentral also lists the same sequence under 1 other name. Lineage: Eukaryota; Fungi; Ascomycota; Sordariomycetes; Glomerellales; Plectosphaerellaceae.
GACCUGCGGAGGGAUCAUU